GACGCCCCUAAUCCAGCCCACAUCCCCUGUCUCAAAUUUAUUUCCCCCCCCCAAAAAAAUAAAUCAUUCUUGAUCUAAAGUAAAUGCGAUUGAAAAAGAAAAACUUGGAGCCUUAUUAAUAGUACCGUAAGGGAAAGAUGAAAUAGAAAUUAAACAAAUAUUUAAGCAACAAACAGUAGAGACUUCAACUCGUACCUUUUGCAUUAUGGUUUAACUAGUCCAACCAGGCAAAAAGAUCUUUAGUCUGACUUCCCGAAACUAAGUGAGCUACUCCAAGGUAACCCUAGAGUUAACCCGUCUCUGUGGCAAAAGAGUGGGAUAACCUUCGAGUAGAGGUGACAUACCUAUCGAACUUAGUAAUAGCUGGUUACUCAAGAAACGAAUUUAAGUUCCUUCUCAAGAGUAUUUAGCAUGCUUACAUUAAGCAAAUUUAACCUCUUAAGACCUAUUCAAUUAGGGUACAGCCUCAUUGAAAAAGGAUACAACCUAUUACUCAGGUUAAUGUUUUUAUAGACCUAGCAUAAGUUGGCCUAAGAGCAGCCACCUUUAAAAUAGCGUCAAAGCUUUCUCUACCGUCUUCUCAAAUCCCGUAAUCCAUACAGAACCCGAUACUAUUAUUGAGUCCUUCUAUACUUCUAUAGAAGUGUCUAUGUUAAAACUAGUAACACAGAACUUAUUCUCCCUAUGUAAGUGUAAAUCAGACAGAAUAAAUCACUGAUAAUUAUUCAGUUAUGAAUCUACUGUAAUAACCCCACUAGAAAACCCUACAGCCCUUUACUGUUAACCUAACACAAGAACAUAAGAGAAAGAUUAAAAGAUAAGGAAGGAACUCGGCAAAUCUAAAUCCCGCCUGUUUACCAAAAACAUCGCCUUUUGCACACUAUAUAAGGUAAUGCCUGCCCAGUGACCAUGUGUUCAACGGCCGCGGUAUUCUGACCGCGCAAAGGUAGCGUAAUCACUUGUUUUUUAAAUAAAGACUAGUAUGAACGGCUUCACGAGGACUUGACUGUCUCCCUUUUCCAAUCAGUGAAACUAAUCUUCUCGUGCAGAAGCGAGAAUACACCCAUUAGACGAGAAGACCCUAUGGAGCUUUAAACUUUAUAUUAAUUAUUAUUACUUAUACAGAAAUAAACAAUAAAAAUUUUAACUUAAUUUAAGUUUUAGGUUGGGGCGACCAAGGAGAAAAAAAUAUCCUCCCUGAUGAUUUUUAAUUAAGAACCACAGUUCUAAGUAUUAAGACACUUAACUUCCAUUGACCCAUUUUUUGAUCAACGAACCAAGUUACCCUAGGGAUAACAGCGCUAUCCAUUUCAAGAGUUCAUAUCGACAAAUGGGUUUACGACCUCGAUGUUGGAUCAGGGUACCCAAG
Molecule: ribosomal RNA, 1369 nt
Filed under: Xenophrys serchhipii
Lineage: Eukaryota; Metazoa; Chordata; Amphibia; Anura; Megophryidae
Description: partial 16S ribosomal RNA
Rfam family: Bacterial large subunit ribosomal RNA
Source: RNAcentral